CCGAGAUGAGUUCUCCCUGACUCCUUGAGAGUCCUGAAGGAACGUUGAAGACGACGACGUUGAUAGGCCGGGUGUGUAAGCGCAGCGAUGCGUUGAGCUAACCGGUACUAAUGAACCGUGAGGCUUAACCUUACAACGCCGAAG
Molecule: ribosomal RNA, 144 nt
Filed under: Escherichia coli
Lineage: Bacteria; Pseudomonadati; Pseudomonadota; Gammaproteobacteria; Enterobacterales; Enterobacteriaceae
Also listed under: 1 other name
Description: partial 23S ribosomal RNA
Rfam family: Bacterial large subunit ribosomal RNA
Source: RNAcentral